ACUAUAAGGAAUUCUUAAUCCAAUGCUUUCUAGUAUUUUAGCAUUCAUAGAACAUUCCUGGAUCAGAUAAUGGAUUCUGGAGCCAUAGUACCUGGGUUCAAAUCCUAACUUUUCUACUUACAAGCUGAGUGGUGUUGGAUUAAUUGCAUAACCUCUCUAAGCCUAAAUUCCUUCAUCUAUAAAGUAGACCUACCUUAUCAGACAGGUAGUUGUGAGAUUAAACGAGUUAAUGCACACAAACAUUUCAGUUCCCAGCACUUAGUAAAGGACUGGAUGUGUUAGCUAUUGUUGUUAGUCUUUCAGAAAGAAUUUCCAUUUAAAUAAGAAAUGUCUAUAGAAAUUGCUUGCACAGAAAUCUUUUAGCUCAAGAAAAUUUCCCUGGGCUGCAGAUCCUGCUAAGUAUUCCUGUGUUGUUUUUCUCCUGUGGCUCAGUGCAACACAAAUACCUUUGUCAUCUUUUAAAAAAUUCAAUUCUUUGGCUUGGUACUUGAGAGAGAUGAGCAAAGGAUGAUGCAACACACACAGCCUGUAUCUUCUUAGACAAGUUUCUUUUCCCUGGGGAAUCAGAUAGGCACGAGUGACAUCCAGAGUGAGCUGGCAUUUUUAUGUUUCUCAGAGGAAUGGGUCCCAGUGCAUUGUCCCCUCUCAAUCUCCUAAUAGGCGCCAGUCUGUGAGGGUCGGUUCUCAGCUCCUACAGCCCGGCCAUCCCCUUGGUCCCCGUGUGUGUACACACGGACAGCAUGCAUGCCCCCCAACCAGGUCACCCAGGUGGGUACCAGGGCUCCCAGCAAGGCUGGUGAGAUGUGGGUCUGGACCUUGGCACUUGGAGUGCCAUCGGGGGCUUCCUUUGACCUUCCUGACCAUCGCCCACUCCUCCACAAGGUCAGAGGGGCUCCAUACUCUGUGCUCCAGUAGCCCACUGAGUGGAAGUUGCUCUAAACAUCUGCGUCCCCAGCCAGACCUGUGCUCUUGUAGGAAAAGAAGACUUUUAUGUCUGCAUCUGCAGAUGUAACACGGGGCACAGUUGCAAGGACAGAUAGAUGCUUUUCUCCUUAGCAAUAGCCAUGUUGGUGCUCAUAACUCUGUCAUCUCUGUGGAAAGUUACAGCAAGUUCACUGGGGAAAAAAAACAGAAAAGACCAAACUUUCUACAUGACUAACCAGUUCUAGUUCCUUCUGGAUUGCCCCGGGGGCCUUGGAGGAGCCUUUUCAGCUCUCUGGACCUCAGUUUCUCCUCUGUGAGAUCAGUCUGCUCCAUACUCAACAAAGUGCUUCAAAGAUCCUGGCCGAGCCCUGGUAUAAAGGAGCUGGUGGCUCUGGGCCAUACCUGUGUUUCUGCUGUUUCCUCCCUGCUGGCUUCUGGUUGCUACUGACAUUCUCAAAGCUUCCCAUUGUGUACAUGAGGCCUGCAAGAGGUUUCUUAACUGAGACAGAAACACUGACCAUCAGCCAGUGUAAGUGGAACUAAUUAAAGUGCACAGGCCCUGCCUAAGUUAGUGGGACUUGUCCUUGAGGGACUUGGCCAUACUGGAGAGGGGGUUCUCUUCCAAGUUGCUCAGGCCUGAGCUCAACCCCCACAUUCCCCCACCCCUCAGUCCUUUUGUGCCAGUCUCUCCAUCCACUCUCUGAAUGCUUCCUCUAGUGUGAACAGCUUGUACCUGCGAACACCUGGAGUCUGGGGCUGGUCCAGUGUGCACUCAGCACUGGCAUCACCUCAUUCUCUUCCCAUUUCUUGCAGCCCUGCGCACCCCUUGACCGUGAAUGCCCAGCUUGAUGCAUUUGAUCUGAAAGGGGCCUGCAGACUCCUGCAUCGAGUCAGCUGUGGUGGUGCCAAGAUGGCAGGUGUGAUGUUUUCUUGGGGAGGCUGAGCUGGAAAAAGCACCACCUCCUGUCGUAAUGGAGCUAAUGUUGCUCCGCUCAGGACAGCUGCACUUACAUGUGGUGUGAAACCACUGUUAUUUAAACUUGACGAUGUGAGGAGAUGCCAGCUCAUCCUCUUGCAGCAUGUAAAUUAUGUCUAUUGCGCGUGCACUUUUUUAAACCCUGAUUCUCCUGAAUUAUGGAAGAUAGACAAGACUGCUGAUGGUCCUCGGCACUCUCCUGGGCCCUGCGGGCUGUGAGUGCUCUUUGCGCACAGAUGGCUAAGAGGAAGGGGUGGCUGGAGCCCACAGGCUGCUCCAGUCAUUAAGUCCCAAGCCUGGCUGUGUUCUGAGCGCCUGAGGAGCCUCUACUCUAAGCUCCGAGGGGUCAACCUCAGUUGAAUUGCCUACUGCCUUCCCUUGGGAAUGUCCAUGCUGCGUAUCAUAAAGUAGAUGAAUCUUACAGCUUGUCUGCUGUGAAAGGUUUUUGGAUAGAAACUGGUGUGGUGGUCAUAGGUUUGCAUCCUGGGUUCUUUCCCACUAUGGCAUAGAAGUACAGGAAAGGCUGGCAUUCGUGUUUGGUGGAGAAGGUGGAUAGAGCUCUUAGCAGAAAGAAUUCUUCUUUCAAAGGCAGCUGAUCAGUUGGUGUUCCAAAGCCACUCAUAUAGUGGCUGCCAAACACAGUAUCCCUUGCAUGUAUUUGAAUCAAACUUGAACUAAACCCAGAAAAAGGAGCCUGGAUUAUAACUUCAGCUAGAACAAGUGACCAGAAUAUGUCCCCAGUAAAGGCCUGGUGGAAUCCCAGGGGCAGGGACGAGGAGCAACUGCCAUGGAUUCCUUUUACUCAGCAUAAAGUCCAGUUUGCCUUCUGUUUCACAUUCUUUGAAUUUCCUGAAUCUGCCAAUGCUUACAACAGCUGCAGGAAAAAUGAAUUGCGUGGUGAUGGUGGAGGAGGGGACAGAAGGAGAGAGGCCCAGGGGGAAAGUGGGCCAUCUGAGAAAGACUUCAGAGGAGCUACCACUGUGGAGCUUGAAGUGCUCAGCUCCCCAGCUGGAAAGGCUGACCCCUAAACCCGCCUUGGGCUCUCUCGCUACCUGGUCCUCUGAGAUGCUCUUUCCCACUUGUCCCUGUGCACUGAUCACUCCCCAUUGCUUUACUGGGUCACAGCCCCUGGCUCUAGUCUCCUGCCCCAUCCCUAGUCCACUUUUUGGGCCUUUAAGAAGCCCAUGCAUCCCGGGCAGUUUGGCAGUGGUUUUACUUACUUCUGCCAGCUCUGCAGCGCUGGGUGUUGCACUAACCUCUUUCCCGGGUCUCUAAAGGGAUCUAUCUGGGAAGGAAAACCUGGUAACCCAUUGUCUGAAUUACCUCCCCAGCCAUUAAACAUCUGGGUGUGAAUUAGUCAGUUGACUACCUGAAACACUGGUGGCAACAGCCGUGACUUAAAAGGAGCCUUGGAUCUGGGAAUCUGAAUUUAAAUUUGUCUCAUUGUCUUUGGGGCCUAACCUCAUUGUGCCAGGAGCACCUGACAGGUUCAUGCACCAGACGACCACGACGACGUUCAGAGCCCUAGCCACCCUGUGUGACUGGGAGCUGUCCUUGUGCUGUCACUCUUCUGCCUCUAAAGUAGGAGUGCUGAUCUGCUCCCCAAGAUGUUAUAGUAAGGAAACCGACAGAAAUCGGAGCUUGGAUGGCUGUGAGCACCCCAGUGUUCCCUAACUGGCAUUUGCUGUUACUACCCCUUCACUCCGUGUGCCCGGACAUAACCCCCAGGAAGCCCUGAGCAUGAACGCACUAGCAAGCCACCCGGGCUUGAGUGACAUCUGGGGAGGACCUGGCAGCAGCCCUGGAUGCUUCUCCUCUCCGACCAGGAGGUGCUGGGCCCUGUGAGCUCCUGGGUCACUAAGGAAGGUGGCCAGGCCUGUGGAAGGCAGAUGGUGUAGAGAAAAGGCUGGAAGCCAUGGCUUUGCCAACAGAGCCAACAGAAACCAUCCGGAGGGGCAGCUCUGGGGAGGGAAGCGGCAUAUGGCUUCAGCAGGGGCAAAUGAGUGAAGUGCUGUCUUCUCACUACUUUAUGAGCGCUGUUUCCUCAAGGCACUUAAUUCAAAGUGUCUUCGCGCAUCUCCAGUGUGAGCAACUGACUGCACACAGCUACUUCCAUGCUAGUAUGUGAAACAUGAUUUACCCACACACGCACCAAAGAGUAGCAAUAACAGUUUGCUCACUGAAGUUGAGAUAAAAAUCUUGCCAUCUGUUCCAAGAAAGAAAUAAAGAAAAGCCCUGCUGAAAAAUUAGGAAAUUUCCCCUAGGAUGCUGAGAUUAUGUAGCUCACACUAAAAUGGUGUUUUAAAAAUAAUAAUCCCGCAUACAUGGUUGCUCAUUGUGUGCUCUGUGCACUUUAUAGAAUUUGAAUGGUAGGAAUCUGUCCCUGGAUGUGACCAAGCAUAUUGUUCUGCCCCUACUGCCAGCCAGGAUAUGUCCAUCAAGCAUGGGGUUUGAACAUUUUGGGACAUGCACUAUGUACUGUUUUCACAUAUCAGAAAAAAGAUCUGCCCUCAGAAGAGGCAGAAUGGCAGAGUGGCUUUUAAGGGCAGACCUGGGGGCUACGUGACCAGGGCUGGAAGCCUAGCCCCUAGCCAUGCAGGGCCUUGGGCAAGUUACUUCCUCACUCUGUGCCUCAGUUUCCUGAACUGUAACAUGGGCUGGCAGUGCUGUGCUGUCACAUGGGAGGCCAGCACACUGCAUCACACACGUCAGCUGUCACACCUCUGCCACCAACAGGAAGUCACGGCGCCUGAGUGACUCCAGGGCACUGGCAGAGGAGCCCAGAGUGGACAGUGCCCCAGGCUCCUGGCAAGUGAAAAGGAAAUGAUACUUCUGUACAAGCCCUCUGUCCUCCCCAACCUCUGUGUAUUGCUUUCUCCCCGGUGCCCCCAGCUUGCUACACAAAGGCACUAUGAGUGGGCUGAGUCCCUGAAACUAAGGCUGAGAGAAGGGACAGGAUGUACUGAGCCACACGGCUGGUGAGGAGCAGGGCCAGGCCCAACAGUGGCAUGUCUCUUGGGAGCCAAAUGGAAACCUUGGGUGAAGGCCUUUGGCAUAAGUUUGGACUGUGGGACAGAGCCUGCCCAGAGAGGACCAGCUCCAGGAUUCUCACCUGCCAAGGAGGGGCCUGGGCUCCGGACACAUGGAUUCAGAGCCUCAGAAAGAGCUCGUCACUCCGAGGAUAAGCCCACCCCGUGUGCCGCAGGAGCCCUACUUCACCUUCAUCCUCUGCCCAGCCCCUGAGAGCUCGUGAACCACAUGGGACCAAGGUUCUUUGGUCAUUUAACAAACAUGCAUCCAGUACCUGGCGUGACCCAAGCACUGAAGAAGCCAGGGUAUAGCUGGCACAAUCUGGGCGUGGCUGCCCCCUCCACGUGCUCUGCUCUGACGCUGAGCACCAACUGCAGCCCAGUCCAGGAGCUGGGAGGAAAAGGGGAGCUGCUGCAGGCGGCCCUCCCAAAUGGAGGCUUGGAAAGUGUCUCAGAGAUGAAAGCCAGCUGGCUCUAAGGCAAGGGCGUCGGGGAAGCAUUUUGAACAGAGAAAAUGGUGUGUGCAGAAGUCUAGGCCAGACAAGGCCUGGUGUGCCGUGGGGUGGGGUUGGAGGUGAGGGUGGCCGAAGGCAGCAAAAUUGAGUUCAAAUAUGGUGCGUGGAGAGGGAUGGAAACGGGACCUCCUAGACGCUACAGGGCCUGAUCUCCCAGGGAUUCCAGGGACUGGCAAGUCUGCCCCACCCCCGAGAACAUCAGGCUGACCCCACGAGGGCUGGUCUAGAAUUUUUAGUUAAGAGCCUGAGAAUCUCCCACCCACCGCAGGCAGAGAGCCACGCCCAGCCCAGAGACUAUCUGAAAACUCUGUGGCAGAGGCCUAGUGUUCCCCACCCAGCGGAGGAGUCUGAAGGUUAGCCAUCUGCCCAGCCAUGGGAGCAGACUCACUAGGGGAGGGGACAGGGAGCUCCCAACUCCAGUCGCCUCAGCGCGAGAAAGCGUGAGGACACGGCUCGGCUCGGGUUUCGAAGUUGAGAACAUCUGGGUUUCUCUUUACCCAGAUGGGAACCCUGAAAUGUUGGAAUUUCUUCUUCACAGCAGUUAGAAGACUUGAGCUCCCCGUAUCAGUUUCUUGCGCCUGGGAAAAUCUCCGUAGGAACAAUCAGAUAUUUUUGGACUUCAAGUGCCUUCAAAUUCCACGUUCAGACUCCACUCCCCGCGUUUGAUUUUUAAUUAGAACGUCCCACUCACCUGUCGAGCGCAAGGUGUUGGGCGGAAGACAUUCUUCAGAGGAGUCUGGGGACGGUGGGGAUAACAGUGUCCGUGUGGAACGGGGUGGCAUUUCCGCAGGUGCAUUUGGAGCUCACAGUUUUCUGAUUGACGGAAUCUGGAAAGUUGUGCUUUAGACACGUACAGAUUUGACUUCAUAGGCUUUGUUCACAUUUAAUAAGAUAUGAAGGUACCUGCUGUUGCUUUGAGGUAGAUAUGCAUACAAUUGUAUGCUGCAGAAAAAGUGAAAUAGAAGGUACAUCAAGUGUGGGGAGCUUUGGUGUCGGGUCAGUUGAUAAUGCCGUCCUACCCAGUGAAGGGUUGUUGUCCUGCUGACUCUGAAAGCCGGACUGAGCUUCUCUGAUUCAAGAAAAGGGAACACAGGAAACUUGAGGGUCUUGUGACAUUGAGGGGUUCUUAGCACACAUGCCUCUGUGUUUUUUUCUUCCCAUUUCUGCCAAGGUUCAAGAUGAUGUAUCACUCUGUGGGAGUUUUAAAAACUAAAUUUUAAAAAUGGCA
This is a non-coding RNA of Heterocephalus glaber (naked mole-rat), 6672 nucleotides long. The record is from RefSeq and is a predicted model, not a curated record. NCBI's taxonomy places the organism in Eukaryota, Metazoa, Chordata, Mammalia, Rodentia, Bathyergidae.